UGCGAAUGGCUCAUUAAAUCAGUUAUCGUUUAUUUGAUAGUACCUUACUACUUGGAUAACCGUGGUAAUUCUAGAGCUAAUACAUGCUAAAAACCCCGACUUCGGAAGGGGUGUAUUUAUUAGAUAAAAAACCAAUGCCCUUCGGGGCUCCUUGGUGAAUCAUAAUAACUUAACGGAUCGCAUGGCCUUGCGCCGGCGACGGUUCAUUCAAAUUUCUGCCCUAUCAACUUUCGAUUGUAGGGUAUUGGCCUACAAUGGUAUCAACGGGUAACGGGGAAUUAGGGUUCGAUUCCGGAGAGGGAGCCUGAGAAACGGCUACCACAUCCAAGGAAGGCAGCAGGCGCGCAAAUUACCCAAUCCCGACACGGGGAGGUAGUGACAAUAAAUACUGAUACAGGGCUCUUUUGGGUCUUGUAAUUGGAAUGAGUACAAUUUAAAUCCCUUAACGAGGAACAAUUGGAGGGCAAGUCUGGUGCCAGCAGCCGCGGUAAUUCCAGCUCCAAUAGCGUAUAUUAAAGUUGUUGCAGUUAAAAAGCUCGUAGUUGAACCUUGGGCCUGGCUGGCCGGUCCGCCUCACCGCGUGCACUGGUCCGGCCGGGCCUUUCCUUCUGGAGAACCGCAUGCCCUUCACUGGGUGUGUCGGGGAACCAGGACUUUUACUUUGAAAAAAUUAGAGUGUUCAAAGCAGGCCUUUGCUCGAAUACAUUAGCAUGGAAUAAUAGAAUAGGACGUGCGGUCCUAUUUUGUUGGUUUCUAGGACCGCCGUAAUGAUUAAUAGGGAUAGUCGGGGGCAUCAGUAUUCAAUUGUCAGAGGUGAAAUUCUUGGAUUUAUUGAAGACUAACUACUGCGAAAGCAUUUGCCAAGGAUGUUUUCAUUAAUCAGUGAACGAAAGUUAGGGGAUCGAAGACGAUCAGAUACCGUCGUAGUCUUAACCGUAAACGAUGCCGACUAGGGAUCGGGCGAUGUUAUUAUUUUGACUCGCUCGGCACCUUACGAGAAAUCAAAGUUUUUGG
Molecule: ribosomal RNA, 1014 nt
Filed under: Gloniopsis praelonga
Lineage: Eukaryota; Fungi; Ascomycota; Dothideomycetes; Hysteriales; Hysteriaceae
Description: SSU rRNA
Rfam family: Eukaryotic small subunit ribosomal RNA
Source: RNAcentral